Molecule: ribosomal RNA, 497 nt
Filed under: uncultured bacterium
Lineage: Bacteria
Description: partial 16S ribosomal RNA
Rfam family: Bacterial small subunit ribosomal RNA
Source: RNAcentral
GAUGAACGCUGGCGGCGUGCCUAAUACAUGCAAGUCGAGCGAACGGACGAGAAGCUUGCUUCUCUGAUGUUAGCGGCGGACGGGUGAGUAACACGUGGAUAACCUACCUAUAAGACUGGGAUAACUUCGGGAAACCGGAGCUAAUACCGGAUAAUAUUUUGCACCGCAUGGUUCAAAAGUGAAAGACGGUCUUGCUGUCACUUAUAGAUGGAUCCGCGCUGCAUUAGCUAGUUGGUAAGGUAACGGCUUACCAAGGCAACGAUGCAUAGCCGACCUGAGAGGGUGGUCGGCUACACUGGAACUGAGACUCGGUCCAGACUCCUACGGGGGGCAGCAGUAGGGAAUCUUCCGCAAUGGGCGAGAGCCUGACGGAGCAACGCCGCGUGAGUGAUGAAGGACUUCGGAUCGUAAAACUCUGUUAUUAGGGAGGAACAUAUGUGUAAGUAACUGUGCACAUCUUGACGGUACCUAGUCAGAAAGCCACGGCUAACUACGUG